GUCCUCGUAGCUUAGAAUAAAGCAUGGCACUGAAGAUGCCAAGACGGCCGCUCAACACACCCGAGGACA
RNAcentral lists this transfer RNA (69 nucleotides) under Toxorhamphus novaeguineae. RNAcentral describes it as "tRNA-Phe". It matches the Rfam family "tRNA". From Rfam's summary of the family: Transfer RNA (tRNA) molecules are approximately 80 nucleotides in length. Lineage: Eukaryota; Metazoa; Chordata; Aves; Passeriformes; Melanocharitidae. The record is from RNAcentral.